GGACAAGCCCAGCGCAAGAGAAUAGCUGAGUUAUCUCUGGUUUUUUUCCCCUCUAUUUCCCAGCAGAGAAGCAGAGGUAAGGAGAAACCGAGUGACUCACCGACCAUCCCACAGGGAGCCUGCAGCGUAACACGGUGCCAAGCCCAGUUCCCAUCCCACCCCGGCCGUCCCUCGUCCCGCCGCCGCGCAGGUUUUUACGGUCUUCAGAAAGGUUGCUUCACCACACCUGUGACUCAAAGCAGACAACGUGUAAGACUGAAAGUGGUUUGUGAUUCCCAAAGAAAUCCCAAGAAACACCUACAUGCUUUUUAAUUACAUACCUAGACCUCCAGGGCUGAGUGCAGGAAGCCACAUUUAGGCCUACAGGCGUGGGGCUCCCAGCAUUUGGAGAGGAGACAAGCUUGGAAGGAAAGGAGCUUCAAGGACAGCCUUGACAGUUGGCUGCGCAUCUGAAAUCUUCAAGAGGCAAACGUGGAAGCUCUGAGUAGCUGAGGGAGAGAGAUGUUGGGGGAGCUGGGACUCAUCUGACUGUGUGACAAAAGGGCUGAGUACCAGACUCGAACCCCAUUCAUUACUGUAACCCCACAGGGUGAACUCCCAUGUUUCUGAACUCUUUCUGUGCAGCCGAUAAACAUAACCUGAAAGACAUGCUAAGAGCAGGAUAGUCGCUAACCUGCUCAUAACUUUAGUUAUCUUUUAAGCAAUUGUCUUCCAAAGAUGCACUGCAAUUAUGGCUCAAAUAAUGGUUGCCUCUCCCCUUCACUGCACAGAGUAAAUGAAAAUGUGCCAGACAUUUCUGCUGUUCAUGGCUCACAAAUCCUUAACCCUUGCGUUGACUGCCAG
This 843-nucleotide long non-coding RNA is filed under the name Struthio camelus australis. Its description in RNAcentral is "lncRNA (ENSSCUG00000013038.1)". Lineage: Eukaryota; Metazoa; Chordata; Aves; Struthioniformes; Struthionidae. The record is from RNAcentral.